RNAcentral lists this transfer RNA (90 nucleotides) under Nitrospiraceae bacterium. RNAcentral describes it as "tRNA-Ser". It matches the Rfam family "tRNA". From Rfam's summary of the family: Transfer RNA (tRNA) molecules are approximately 80 nucleotides in length. Their secondary structure includes four short double-helical elements and three loops (D, anti-codon, and T loops). Further hydrogen bonds mediate the characteristic L-shaped molecular structure. tRNAs have two regions of fundamental functional importance: the anti-codon, which is responsible for specific mRNA codon recognition, and the 3' end, to which the tRNAs corresponding amino acid is attached (by aminoacyl-tRNA synthetases). tRNAs cope with the degeneracy of the genetic code in two manners: having more than one tRNA (with a specific anti-codon) for a particular amino acid; and 'wobble' base-pairing, i.e. permitting non-standard base-pairing at the 3rd anti-codon position. Lineage: Bacteria; Pseudomonadati; Nitrospirota; Nitrospiria; Nitrospirales; Nitrospiraceae. The record is from RNAcentral.
GGAGAGGUGCCGGAGCGGUUGAACGGGGCGGUCUCGAAAACCGUUGUGGGGGCAACCCCACCCAGGGUUCGAAUCCCUGCCUCUCCGCCA